GACGAAGGGGGCUAGCGUUGUUCGGAAUUACUGGGCGUAAAGCGUGUGUAGGUGGUUGUCAUAGUCAGGUGUGAAAGCCUUGAGCUCAACUCAAGAAAUGCACUCGAUACUGGGCAGCUAGAGGACCGGAGAGGAUAGUGGAAUUCCCAGUGUAGUGGUGAAAUGCGCAGAUAUCAGGAAGAACACCCGUGGCUAAGGCGGUUCUCUAGGACGGUACUGACGCUGAGACGCGAAAGCGUGGGGAGCGAACAGG
RNAcentral lists this ribosomal RNA (253 nucleotides) under uncultured bacterium. RNAcentral describes it as "partial 16S ribosomal RNA". It matches the Rfam family "Bacterial small subunit ribosomal RNA", at positions 524 to 776 of the family's 1533-position model. The record is from RNAcentral.